Molecule: ribosomal RNA, 440 nt
Filed under: uncultured bacterium
Lineage: Bacteria
Description: partial 16S ribosomal RNA
Rfam family: Bacterial small subunit ribosomal RNA
Source: RNAcentral
CCUACGGGAGGCAGCAGUGGGGAAUAUUGCACAAUGGGGGAAACCCUGAUGCAGCGACGCCGCGUGAGUGAAGAAGUAUUUCGGUAUGUAAAGCUCUAUCAGCAGGGAAGAAAAUGACGGUACCUGAGUAAGAAGCCACGGCUAACUACGUGCCAGCAGCCGCGGUAAUACGUAGGGGGCAAGCGUUAUCCGGAUUUACUGGGGGUAAAGGGAGCGUAGACGGCAGCGCAAGUCUGAAGUGAAAUGCCGGGGCUUAACCCCGGAACUGCUUUGGAAACUGUGCAGCUAGAGUGCAGGAGAGGUAAGUGGAAUGUCUAGUGUAGCGGUGAAAUGCGUAGAUAUUAGGAAGAACACCAGUGGCGAAGGCAGCUUACUGGACUGUAACUGACGUUGAGGCACGAAAGCGUGGGGAGCAAACAGGAUUAGAUACCCGAGUAGUC